RNAcentral lists this ribosomal RNA (256 nucleotides) under uncultured bacterium. Its description in RNAcentral is "partial 16S ribosomal RNA". It matches the Rfam family "Bacterial small subunit ribosomal RNA", at positions 524 to 777 of the family's 1533-position model. The record is from RNAcentral.
UACGGGGGGAGCAAGCGUUGUUCGGAUUUACUGGGCGUAAAGGGCGCGUAGGCGGCCACCGCAAGUCGGUUGUGAAAUCUCCGGGCUUAACCCGGAACGGUCAGAUGAUACUGCUUUGCUAGAGUGCGGAAGGGGCAAUCGGAAUUCUUGGUGUAGCGGUGAAAUGCGUAGAUAUCAAGAGGAACACCUGAGGUGAAGACGGGUUGCUGGGCCGACACUGACGCUGACAGCGCGAAAGCCAGGGGAGCAAACGGGG